AAAAAGGUCGAUCCUUGGAUUUCUUAGUCCUAAUUCUUAUUUUUUUUUUUUCAGUUAAUGAUUUAAUGAGAGCUACAGUUUUCCAGUGAAUAGAGAAUCAUUAAUCACACACUUUUGACAUCUCUCUGAAUACCUGAAGCACAAGGGAAAAUGACAGAGUUACGUACUACAAAACAAGUAUUGGUACAUGCAAGACUUGGUGCAUUAUUUUGCAAGCAUACUUUAAUUUGUUUGGACAAAGAUUAACAAAGCUAACAGCUUCAGAAACACCAGAGCAAGGCAUACCAUUUACAUUAACACUCAGGGAGGAAGAAGAUUGACCUACUUGAAGGAGAGAAGAAAGCAGCACCAGCUGAAGAAUCUGGGGACCGUCUGCCACCUCUUCUGCCAGAUGGGUGAAAGGUGCGUCCUUCCUGCAGUGCCUCCACAUUGCUGGGUGCUCGCCCUUACAGCAGUAAUUAUAAGGGAGAAAUGUAGCUGUAUACAAUCAAUUCCGUAUUAAGCAUCCUCUCCUGUUAUUUAACGUUGAACUGAUGCAGAGCUUAAUGACUCACUACUUUCUGACAAAUAAUAAAUAUACCACACAGAGGCA
This 592-nucleotide long non-coding RNA is filed under the name Numida meleagris (helmeted guineafowl). Its description in RNAcentral is "lncRNA (ENSNMEG00000005777.1)". Lineage: Eukaryota; Metazoa; Chordata; Aves; Galliformes; Numididae. The record is from RNAcentral.